CAGUGGGAGCCUCUUAAUGGGGUGACUGCGUACCUUUUGUAUAAUGGGUCAGCGACUUAUAUUCUGUAGCAAGGUUAACCGAAUAGGGGAGCCGAAGGGAAACCGAGUCUUAACUGGGCGUUAAGUUGCAGGGUAUAGACCCGAAACCCGGUGAUCUAGCCAUGGGCAGGUUGAAGGUUGGGUAACACUAACUGGAGGACCGAACCGACUAAUGUUGAAAAAUUAGCGGAUGACUUGUGGCUGGGGGUGAAAGGCCAAUCAAACCGGGAGAUAGCUGGUUCUCCCCGAAAGCUAUUUAGGUAGCGCCUCGUGAAUUCAUCUCCGGGGGUAGAGCACUGUUUCGGCAAGGGGGUCAUCCCGACUUACCAACCCGAUGCAAACUGCGAAUACCGGAGAAUGUUAUCACGGGAGACACACGGCGGGUGCUAACGUCCGUCGUGAAGAGGGAAACAACCCAGACCGCCAGCUAAGGUCCCAAAGUCAUGGUUAAGUGGGAAACGAUGUGGGAAGGCCCAGACAGCCAGGAUGUUGGCUUAGAAGCAGCCAUCAUUUAAAGAAAGCGUAAUAGCUCACUGGUCGAGUCGGCCUGCGCGGAAGAUGUAACGGGGCUAAACCAUGCACCGAAGCUGCGGCAGCGACGCUGAUGCGUUGUUGGGUAGGGGAGCGUUCUGUAAGCCUGUGAAGGUGGCCUGUGAGGGUUGCUGGAGGUAUCAGAAGUGCGAAUGCUGACAUAAGUAACGAUAAAGCGGGUGAAAAGCCCGCUCGCCGGAAGACCAAGGGUUCCUGUCCAACGUUAAUCGGGGCAGGGUGAGUCGACCCCUAAGGCGAGGCCGAAAGGCGUAGUCGAUGGGAAACAGGUUAAUAUUCCUGUACUUGGUGUUACUGCGAAGGGGGGACGGAGAAGGCUAUGUUGGCCGGGCGACGGUUGUCCCGGUUUAAGCGUGUAGGCUGGUUUUCCAGGCAAAUCCGGAAAAUCAAGGCUGAGGCGUGAUGACGAGGCACUACGGUGCUGAAGCGACAAAUGCCCUGCUUCCAGGAAAAGCCUCUAAGCAUCAGGUAACAUUAAAUCGUACCCCAAACCGACACAGGUGGUCAGGUAGAGAAUACCAAGGCGCUUGAGAGAACUCGGGUGAAGGAACUAGGCAAAAUGGUGCCGUAACUUCGGGAGAAGGCACGCUGAUAUGUAGGUGAAGCGACUUGCUCGUGGAGCUGAAAUCAGUCGAAGAUACCAGCUGGCUGCAACUGUUUAUUAAAAACACAGCACUGUGCAAACACGAAAGUGGACGUAUACGGUGUGACGCCUGCCCGGUGCCGGAAGGUUAAUUGAUGGGGUUAGCGGUAACGCGAAGCUCUUGAUCGAAGCCCCGGUAAACGGCGGCCGUAACUAUAACGGUCCUAAGGUAGCGAAAUUCCUUGUCGGGUAAGUUCCGACCUGCACGAAUGGCGUAAUGAUGGCCAGGCUGUCUCCACCCGAGACUCAGUGAAAUUGAACUCGCUGUGAAGAUGCAGUGUACCCGCGGCAAGACGGAAAGACCCCGUGAACCUUUACUAUAGCUUGACACUGAACAUUGAGCCUUGAUGUGUAGGAUAGGUGGGAGGCUUUGAAGUGUGGACGCCAGUCUGCAUGGAGCCGACCUUGAAAUACCACCCUUUAAUGUUUGAUGUUCUAACGUGGGCCCCUUACCGGGGUUGCGGACAGUGUCUGGUGGGUAGUUUGACUGGGGCGGUCUCCUCCUAAAGAGUAACGGAGGAGCACGAAGGUUGGCUAAUCCUGGUCGGACAUCAGGAGGUUAGUGCAAUGGCAUAAGCCAGCUUGACUGCGAGCGUGACGGCGCGAGCAGGUGCGAAAGCAGGUCAUAGUGAUCCGGUGGUUCUGAAUGGAAGGGCCAUCGCUCAACGGAUAAAAGGUACUCCGGGGAUAACAGGCUGAUACCGCCCAAGAGUUCAUAUCGACGGCGGUGUUUGGCACCUCGAUGUCGGCUCAUCACAUCCUGGGGCUGAAGUAGGUCCCAAGGGUAUGGCUGUUCGCCAUUUAAAGUGGUACGCGAGCUGGGUUUAGAACGUCGUGAGACAGUUCGGUCCCUAUCUGCCGUGGGCGCUGGAGAACUGAGGGGGGCUGCUCCUAGUACGAGAGGACCGGAGUGGACGCAUCACUGGUGUUCGGGUUGUCAUGCCAAUGGCACUGCCCGGUAGCUAAAUGCGGAAGAGAUAAGUGCUGAAAGCAUCUAAGCACGAAACUUGCCCCGAGAUGAGUUCUCCCUGAGACUUAGAGUCUCCUGAAGGAACGUUGAAGACGACGACGUUGAUAGGCCGGGUGUGUAAGCGCAGCGAUGCGUUGAGCUAACCGGUACUAAUGAACCGUGAGGCUUAACCUU
Molecule: ribosomal RNA, 2375 nt
Filed under: Escherichia coli
Lineage: Bacteria; Pseudomonadati; Pseudomonadota; Gammaproteobacteria; Enterobacterales; Enterobacteriaceae
Description: partial 23S ribosomal RNA
Rfam family: Bacterial large subunit ribosomal RNA
Source: RNAcentral